GACGAGCCACCCAAACGUUAUUCGGAAUUAUUGGGCGUAAAGAGCUCGUAGGCGGUCUGUCGCGUCUGCUGUGAAAACUCGGGGCUUAACCCCGGGCCUGCAGUGGGUACGGGCAGACUAGAGUGCGGUAGGGGAGACUGGAAUUCCUGGUGUAGCGGUGAAAUGCGCAGAUAUCAGGAGGAACACCGGUGGCGAAGGCGGGUCUCUGGGCCGUAACUGACGCUGAGGAGCGAAAGCAUGGGGAGCGAACAGG
This 253-nucleotide ribosomal RNA is filed under the name uncultured bacterium. Its description in RNAcentral is "partial 16S ribosomal RNA". It matches the Rfam family "Bacterial small subunit ribosomal RNA", at positions 524 to 776 of the family's 1533-position model. The record is from RNAcentral.